GAAAAUAUAUUUCAUUAGAUGAAAUGGUUACAAGGCUCAAACUUACAUAAAAGAACUGUUACAUUAAACCCAAGGCUAGAAACAAAAAGAUCCAAUUUCUAAAAAUCCUGGGCUGGAUGGGUCAGACCUGGUUGCCCAACCUUCAUCAGCUGCCAAUCUCAACAUCAUUUUCUCUAGCAGAUUCUUUAUCAGCUUUCAUAGAGAUCGGCAAGGCAACUGUAGUUUCAACCAUACAAGGGAGCAAAAUCACCCUACUCAACACAUGCAAGCCCAAGGGAAAUCAGGAAAAAGUAGCAAACCAGAGAGGAAACGGGACUAGGGCCAUGUCGAACGAAUUCAGAAAGAGCUUGGCAAAGGUGCCUAGGAAUGGUACCAACAUCUAACUGCCAGCCAAUACUUGCUUCGAAGAGCUACAUAACAACCUAUAAGGGGACUAGUUUCAACAUGCAGAGCCUCCUUUUAUACCCAACAAAAGCCCCAUUCUAAAGAGAGGCACUAGAAACUCCAUAAUGGAGACUAAGAAAAGACUAGAAGAAAACAAACAAAAAGCUACACUACUGAAGGAAAAUGAGGAAGGGGGAAGGUUGACAGCCAUAGAUGGUCAGACC
RNAcentral lists this unclassified non-coding RNA (608 nucleotides) under Hevea brasiliensis (rubber tree). Lineage: Eukaryota; Viridiplantae; Streptophyta; Magnoliopsida; Malpighiales; Euphorbiaceae. The record is from RNAcentral.